GCAGCAGGCGCGCAAAUUACCCAAUCCCGAUCCGGGGAGGUAGUGACAAUAAAUACUGAUAUAGGGCUCUUUUGGGUCUUAUAAUUGGAAUGAGUACAAUCUAAAUCCCUUAACGAGGAACAAUUGGAGGGCAAGUCUGGUGCCAGCAGCCGCGGUAAUUCCAGCUCCAAUAGCGUAUAUUAAAGUUGUUGCAGUUAAAAAGCUCGUAGUUGAACCUUGGGCCCGUCCUGCCGGUCCGCCUCACCGCGAGUACUGGUCCGGAUGGGCCUUUCUUUCUGGGGAAUCCCAUGGCCUUCACUGGCUGUGGCGGGGAACCAGGACUUUUACUGUGAAAAAAUUAGAGUGUUCAAAGCAGGCCUUUGCUCGGAUACAUUAGCAUGGAAUAAUAAAAUAGGACGUGCGGUUCUAUUUUGUUGGUUUCUAGGACCGCCGUAAUGAUUAAUAGGGAUAGUCGGGGGCGUCAGUAUUCAGCUGUCAGAGGUGAAAUUCUUGGAUUUGCUGAAGACUAACUACUGCGAAAGCAUUCGCCAAGGAUGUUUUCAUUAAUCAGGGAACGAAAGUUAGGGGAUCGAAGACGAUCAGAUACCGUCGUAGUCUUAACCAUAAACUAUGCCGACUAGGGAUCGGGCGGUGUUUCUAUGAUGACCCGCUCGGCACCUUACGAGAAAUCAAAGUUUUUGGGUUCUGGGGGGAGUAUGGUCGCAAGGCUGAAACUUAAAGAAAUUGACGGAA
RNAcentral lists this ribosomal RNA (732 nucleotides) under uncultured fungus. RNAcentral describes it as "SSU rRNA". It matches the Rfam family "Eukaryotic small subunit ribosomal RNA", at positions 425 to 1161 of the family's 1831-position model. The record is from RNAcentral. Lineage: Eukaryota; Fungi.